GAUAUCAUUCACAGCCGCCAUCUUCUGGUUAUGGUCAACCAGAGACAGGUUCACAACUUGCUCAACCACCAAGUUAUGGUGCGGCAUCUGCCCAGCCUGGAUAUGGAGCCCCAACCUAUGGAGCUGGUUAUGGAGCACCUUAUAACACCUCUUAUGGUGGUAGUUACUCACAGCCUCCAACAUAUCCAGCCGACAACAAUGCUGGUGGGAGCACUAAUGGAAAUUACGAUGCAGCACCAGCAUCUAAAACUGUUGACCAGGGUGGAGUUGCCAAGGCAUCCCCCAAAAGUUGAUUUGGCCGUAGUACGAUUUUAUAAUUUUGAAUUUGUG
Molecule: long non-coding RNA, 330 nt
Filed under: Gossypium raimondii (Peruvian cotton)
Lineage: Eukaryota; Viridiplantae; Streptophyta; Magnoliopsida; Malvales; Malvaceae
Description: long non-coding RNA (GRAI_LNC008161)
Source: RNAcentral